RNAcentral lists this unclassified non-coding RNA (220 nucleotides) under Hevea brasiliensis (rubber tree). The record is from RNAcentral. Lineage: Eukaryota; Viridiplantae; Streptophyta; Magnoliopsida; Malpighiales; Euphorbiaceae.
UUUCCCCCUCUUUUUUUCUUAGCCAUCCUAGAUCCUACAGUAUAUUAUACUGUUCAAUUAUUAAACAGUAUAAUUGAACCCUUUACUGGUGUUCAAUCAUAUUGGUUGCUAUGAUUUUCAUCUACUAAAAAAUUUAUGGGCUUGUAGACUGGAAAGUUAUUGUUUGUUGGUUGUGGGGCAGAUGAUGGGAGCGGGGGAAGGCAUUCAGCUUAUCCCAUGA